RNAcentral lists this ribosomal RNA (397 nucleotides) under uncultured bacterium. Its description in RNAcentral is "partial 16S ribosomal RNA". It matches the Rfam family "Bacterial small subunit ribosomal RNA", at positions 338 to 732 of the family's 1533-position model. The record is from RNAcentral.
CCUACGGGAGGCAGCAGUGAGGAAUAUUGGUCAAUGGACGAGAGUCUGAACCAGCCAAGUAGCGUGAAGGCUGACUGCCCCAUGGGUUGUAAACUUCUUUUAUAAAGGAAUAAAACGAGGCACGUGUGCCUUUUUGCAUGUACUUUAUGAAUAAGGAUCGGCUAACUCCGUGCCAGCAGCCGCGGUAAUACGGCGGAUCCGAGCGUUCUCCGGAUUUAUUGGGUUUAAAGGGAGCGUAGUUGGUUUGUUAAGUUAGUUGUGAAAGUUUGCGGAUCAACCGUAGAAUGGCAAGUGAUACUGGCAGUCUUGAGUACAGUGGAGGUAGGCGGAAUUCGUGGUGUAGCGGUGAAAUGCUUAGAUAUCACGAAGAACCCCGAUUGCGAAGGCAGCUUACUAA